RNAcentral lists this ribosomal RNA (774 nucleotides) under Endomychus coccineus. Its description in RNAcentral is "partial 16S ribosomal RNA". The stretch from base 1 to 563 matches the Rfam family "Bacterial large subunit ribosomal RNA", at positions 1845 to 2925 of the family's 2925-position model. Lineage: Eukaryota; Metazoa; Arthropoda; Insecta; Coleoptera; Endomychidae. The record is from RNAcentral.
AUUUAAAGUCUGGCCUGCCCACUGAAAUUUUAAGGGCCGCGGUAUUUUGACCGUGCAAAGGUAGCAUAAUCAAUAGUUUUUUAAUUGAAAGCUGGAAUGAAUGGUUGGAUAAGAAAAAUACUGUCUUAAAUUAAAUUUUUUAAAACUUUAUUUUUAAGUUAAAAAGCUUAAAUUUUAUUAAAAGACGAGAAGACCCUGUAGAGUUUUAUAAUAAAAUUAUAUUUAAUUUUUUAGUAUUAUUAUUUUAAUUAUGUUUUUAUUAUUUGAUUGGGGUGAUUUAAAAAUUUAAAUAACUUUUUAUUUUUUUUUAACAUUAAUUAAUGAAAAAUUGAUCCAUAUAAAUGAUUAAAAGACUAAAUUACCUUAGGGAUAACAGCGUAAUUUUUUCUGAUAGUUCUAAUUGAUGAAAAAGAUUGCGACCUCGAUGUUGGAUUAAAGUUAAUUUAUGGUGCAGAAGCUAUAGGAUUUGGUCUGUUCGACCUUUAAAACUUUACAUGAUCUGAGUUUAAACCGGUGUGAGCCAGGUUGGUUUCUAUCUUUAAUUAAAAAUUAUAUUUUAGUACGAAAGGACCAAAUAUAAAAUUAAUAAUUUAAAUUUUGAAUAUUAAUAUUAUUUUGGCAGAGUAGUGCAUUAGAUUUAGAAUCUAAUUAUAUAAUUUUUUAUAAAUAAUACUUGUAUUUUAAUAUUUUUUUAAUUUUAAUGUCUAUAAUUAUUCUGAUUAUUAGUAUUUUAAUUGGUGUUGCUUUUUUAACUUUAUUAGAACGUAAAGUUUU